GCCUAACACAUGCAAGUCUAGCGGAUGACGGAGAGCUUGCUCCUGGAUGUCAGCGCGCUGACGGGGGAUUACUGCCUAGGAAUCUGCCUGGCAGUGGGGGACAACGUUUCGAAAGGAACGCUAAUACCGACAUACGUCUCUACGGGUAGCAAAGCAGGGGACCUUCGGGUCUUGCGCUAUCUGAUGAGCCUAUGUCGGAUUAUACUAUCCGCGUGGGGGAAUGGCUCACCAACGCGACGAUCCGUUAACUGGUCUGAGAGGAUGAUCGGCCACACUGGAACUGAGACUCGGCCCAAACUCCUACUGGAGGCAGCAUGGGGGAAUAUUGGACNAUGGGCGAAAGCCUGAUCCAGCCAUGCCGCGUGUGUGAAGAAGGUCUUCCGAUUGUAAAGUACUUUAAGUUGGGAGGAAGGGCAGUAAGCUAAUACCUUGCUGUUUUGACGUUACCGACACAAUAAGCACCGGCUAACUCUGUGACAGCAGUCUCGGUGAUACCGACGGUGCAAGCGUUAUCGGAAUUACUGGGNUAAAACUCGCGUAGGUGGUUCGUUAACNGGAUGUGAAAGUCCGGGCUCAACCUGGCACUGCUCCCAACUGGGAACUAUAUACGUAGAUGCGCGGAAUUCUGUGGAUGCGAANUGCGUAGAUAUCGAAGGAACCCGAGGCCAAGGCACCACCUGUNUGAUACUGACACUGAUCGCCAUCGCGGCGGAGCAACAGGAUUAGAUACCCUGGCAUCNACGCCGCAACGAUGUCAACUAGUNGUUGCAAUCCUUGAGAUUUACUGGCGCAUCUACGCUUNGUNCCCCUGUGAUACGCNCAGGUAAACUCAAUGAUUGACGAGUCGCCAACAGUGNAGCAUGU
Molecule: ribosomal RNA, 864 nt
Filed under: Pseudomonas plecoglossicida
Lineage: Bacteria; Pseudomonadati; Pseudomonadota; Gammaproteobacteria; Pseudomonadales; Pseudomonadaceae
Description: bacterial SSU rRNA
Rfam family: Bacterial small subunit ribosomal RNA
Source: RNAcentral